UACGUAGGGGGCGAGCGUUGUCCGGAUUUAUUGGGCGUAAAGAGCGUGUAGGCAGCCUGACAGGUCUGCUGUGAAAACUCGAGGCUCAACCUCGAGAUGUCGGCGGAAACCGUCUGGCUAGAGUCCGGAAGAGGAGAGUGGAAUUCCUGGUGUAGCGGUGAAAUGCGCAGAUAUCAGGAAGAACACCUAUGGCGAAGGCAGCUCUCUGGGACGGUACUGACGCUGAGACGCGAAAGCGUGGGGAGCGAACAGG
RNAcentral lists this ribosomal RNA (253 nucleotides) under uncultured bacterium. RNAcentral describes it as "partial 16S ribosomal RNA". It matches the Rfam family "Bacterial small subunit ribosomal RNA", at positions 524 to 776 of the family's 1533-position model. The record is from RNAcentral.